This 1437-nucleotide unclassified non-coding RNA is filed under the name Hevea brasiliensis (rubber tree). Lineage: Eukaryota; Viridiplantae; Streptophyta; Magnoliopsida; Malpighiales; Euphorbiaceae. The record is from RNAcentral.
CCCUCUUUCACAAAAUAUAGAACCAUUGUACUUUAAUUUAAGAAAUAAUUAUAACUACUAUAUUUUAGUGCUUCCUAUAAUUUUUCAUGACUAGAAUCUUUGAUUUAGAACUUAAAGCUGAUAAUUCAAUCGAUUGGUAGGAAAGAGGGAGUACAAUGGGUCGGUGCAUUCAAAGACAUUCGACCGCCGCCACAAUGUAUGAAUGGAAGUUACUUUCCAGAUAAAAUCGUCAAAGUGAUUCUAAAGCACUAUCUAAUGAAUACUUUAUAUUUUAAUGGCUUUAACAUAAGAAAGAAUCAAAUUCUCCUUCCUUCAGCCAGUAGCAUUUCCCCAUAACAUGGCCAUCUUGUUCUCUUUACCAUGCUAGUUAUUUUAAGAUGAGCUCUGAUAAUUAAUAAUUAGUUUCAUUUCUGUACUUUUUUUAUUAGUUAUUAUGGUGAUUGUUAAUAUCCUAACAGUAUUUCUGUAUUUUAAGAUUCUUGGUCAAUUUUUCAGUUAGAUAUAUGGGUCAUCCUAAUCGCUUAGAGACAAACCCACCUAUAGUUAACCAAUACGUUUGGGGUCUUGAGACAUGAAACAAAUAAUUGAUAUGUGACAGUCCCAGUUACCAACCCCUCCUCCCUUCUUUCUUCUGUGAUAAGUCAGAAUCUGUGGCUUUCUGCUGCAGGGUGAGUUAGACAAUGAUCCAUGUGGGCAAAAAAGUUGGGCUGCAGAGCAUCUAUAAAAUCCUUAAUUUGGUUAUCAUAUACCACAGUACAAACACUGCAAACUCUCUAACUCUAGAACAUUUUCUUACACCCAAACUCCAAAUCCCUCCAUAACUAAAACAUGGAUCUCUUACACCAUAGGGGAAUAGAUAAAAAUUGCCCUAGGACGUGGGUUAAAAACGAUAGGGGUAUGUCUGGGGUAGUUCUUUAUGCAGAAGAGCAAUUGAUUGCCUUGUUUAAGAGCUGUGACAUCAACCAAGACGGACGCCUUAGCAAGGAAGAGCUCAAGAACAUGUUCAAUAAGCUAGGUUCUCAUUUUGCAAGCUGGCGAGUUUAUCGAGCACUACAUCAUGCAGAUACAAACGGAGAUGGGUAUAUAAGCGAGGAAGAGUUUUCUGAUCUUGUUAGGUAUAUAUUGACCAGAUGUGAUUAUAGGUUUAAGUAGGCAGAUUGUACAAAGCAGGAGGUUUAGCCAAGUUUUCUGAGUUUGUAGAUGACGCUUUAUCUGGUUUGUUUUCUUUUUCUUUUCUUUUUUGCUACUUUUCCCUUUCUCUUUUCUCAUUUCUAGAUUGCAUAUGUAUGUAGUUUGUAGCUUCCUCAUGAACGAAAAUUAGACGAAAAUAGUUUCCUGUAAAAUUUCUCCCAUCUUCUGGAAAAAUUAUAAAAUAAAAUCAUAUGUACAAUUAUUUUAUUAUAAUUAUUAAUUUUGAUGAAUUUUACAUCAAUUCUA